RNAcentral lists this ribosomal RNA (383 nucleotides) under uncultured bacterium. RNAcentral's name for it is "bacterial SSU rRNA". It matches the Rfam family "Bacterial small subunit ribosomal RNA", at positions 376 to 774 of the family's 1533-position model. The record is from RNAcentral.
CGCAAGCCUGACGGAGCAACGCCGCGUGAGGGAUGAAGGCCUCUGGGCUGUAAACCUCUUUUAUCAAGGAAGAAGAACUGACGGUACUUGAUGAAUAAGCCACGGCUAAUUCCGUGCCAGCAGCCGCGGUAAUACGGGAGUGGCAAGCGUUAUCCGGAAUUAUUGGGCGUAAAGCGUCCGCAGGCGGUUUUACAAGUCUGUCGUUAAAGCGUGGAGCUCAACUCCAUUUCAGCGAUGGAAACUGUAAGACUCGAGUGUGGUAGGGGCAGAGGGAAUUCCCGGUGUAGCGGUGAAAUGCGUAGAUAUCGGGAAGAACACCAGUGGCGAAAGCGCUCUGCUGGGCCAUAACUGACGCUCAUGGACGAAAGCCAGGGGAGCGAAAG